CAGCCGCCGCGGUAAUACCGAGGGUGCGAGCGUUAAUCGGAUUUACUGGGCGUAAAGCGUGCGUAGGCGGCUAAUUGAGUCGGAUGUGAAAUCCCCGAGCUUAACUUGGGAAUUGCAUUCGAUACUGGUUAUCUAGAGUGUGGGAGAGGAUGGUAGAAUUCCAGGUGUAGCGGUGAAAUGCGUAGAGAUCUGGAGGAAUACCGAUGGCGAAGGCAGCCAUCUGGCCUAACACUGACGCUGAGGUACGAAAGCAUGGGGAGCAAACAGGAUUAGAUACCCCCGUAGUCCCUGUCUCUUAUAC
Molecule: ribosomal RNA, 301 nt
Filed under: uncultured bacterium
Lineage: Bacteria
Description: partial 16S ribosomal RNA
Rfam family: Bacterial small subunit ribosomal RNA
Source: RNAcentral